GAUCAGUGAAGUGUUGUGGACUGUAAGCCUGUUGAACAGAAGCAGAGACGAGUGGACAGACACUGACUGUACUGAUGAUGAUCAUCUGCUGCUGCACAGUAAUGAAGUAUAACCCCUGCUGGACAUGGCUCCGGAAGCUCCAGGGGGAGACCGAACUGGUAUCCCCACCUCUCCAGGCACAACUCACUUACUGUCCACUCAUAUUGCAAAGAUCCGGCUGGGAUGGAUCCAGCAAUCAUUAAAGUCAUGGGGCAGCGAUCUUACCACAGAGCCACUGAUCUCAUGUCUGUAUGCCUGCUGGAAUUGAUGUCACUGCUGACCUGUUUCAAUAAAACAAUAUAUAAGUCA
Non-coding RNA from Danio rerio (zebrafish), 348 nucleotides. NCBI's taxonomy places the organism in Eukaryota, Metazoa, Chordata, Actinopteri, Cypriniformes, Danionidae. The record is from RefSeq and is a predicted model, not a curated record.